UACGGAGGGUGCGAGCGUUGUCCGGAAUCACUGGGCGUAAAGGGCGCGUAGGCGGCGCGGGGAGUCAACGGUGAAAGCUCGGCGCUCAACGCCGAGUCGGCCGUCGAUACUCCCGUGCUCGAGCACUGUAGAGGCAGGUGGAAUUCCGGGUGUAGCGAUGGAAUGCGUAGAGAUCCGGAAGAACACCGGUGGCGAAGGCGGCCUGACUGGCAGUAGCUGGACGCUGAGGCGGCGACAGCG
Molecule: ribosomal RNA, 240 nt
Filed under: uncultured bacterium
Lineage: Bacteria
Description: partial 16S ribosomal RNA
Rfam family: Bacterial small subunit ribosomal RNA
Source: RNAcentral